Molecule: ribosomal RNA, 465 nt
Filed under: uncultured bacterium
Lineage: Bacteria
Description: partial 16S ribosomal RNA
Rfam family: Bacterial small subunit ribosomal RNA
Source: RNAcentral
GACGAACGCUGGCGGCGUGCUUAACACAUGCAAGUCGAACGGAAAGGCCCUGCUUGCAGGGUACUCGAGUGGCGAACGGGUGAGUAACACGUGGGUGAUCUGCCCUUCACUUCGGGAUAAGCCUGGGAAACUGGGUCUAAUACCGGAUAGGAGCCAUUUUUAGUGGGAGGGUUGGAAAGUUUUUUCGGUGUAGGAUGAGCGCGCGGCCUAUUAGCUUGUUGGUGGGGUAAUGGCCUACCAAGGCGGCGACGGGUAGACGGCCUGAGAGGGUGGACGGCCACAUUGGGACUGAGACACGGCCCAGACUCCUACGGGGGGCAGCAGUGGGGAAUAUUGCACAAUGGGCGGAAGCCUGAUGCAGCGAAGCCGCGUGGGGGAUGACGGACUUCGGGUUGAAAACUCCUUUCGCUAGGGACGAAGCUUUUUGUGACGGUACCUAGAUAAGAAGCACCGGCUAACUACGUG